AGUCGAGGGGCAGCGCGGGUAGCAAUUCCUGGCGGCGACCGGCAAACGGGUGCGGAACACGUACGCAACCUUCCCAAAACUGGGGAAUAGCCCUCCGAAAGGAGGAUUAAUACCCCGUAACACAAUUGAGAGGCAUCUCUUGAUUGUUAUAGCUCCGGCGGUUUUGGAUGGGCGUGCGGCUGAUUAGGUAGUUGGCGGGGUAACGGCCCACCAAGCCAUCGAUCAGUAACUGGUGUGAGAGCACGACCAGUCACACGGGCACUGAGACACGGGCCCGACUCCUACGGGAGGCAGCAGUAAGGAAUAUUGGUCAAUGGACGCAAGUCUGAACCAGCCAUGCCGCGUGAAGGAUGAAGGCCCUCUGGGUUGUAAACUUCUUUUAUCUGGGACGAAAAAAGGGGAUUCUUCCUCACUUGACGGUACCAGAGGAAUAAGCACCGGCUAACUCCGUGCCAGCAGCCGCGGUAAUACGGAGGGUGCAAGCGUUAUCCGGAUU
Molecule: ribosomal RNA, 496 nt
Filed under: uncultured Bacteroidota bacterium
Lineage: Bacteria; Pseudomonadati; Bacteroidota
Description: bacterial SSU rRNA
Rfam family: Bacterial small subunit ribosomal RNA
Source: RNAcentral